GACGAACCGUACGAACGUUAUUCGGAAUCACUGGGCUUAAAAGGGUGCGUAGGCUGCGCGGAAAGUUGGGUGUGAAAUCCCUCGGCUCAACCGAGGAACUGCGCCCAAAACUGCCGUGCUCGAGGGAGACAGAGGUGAGCGGAACUUAGGGUGGAGCGGUGAAAUGCGUUGAUAUCCUAAGGAACACCGGUGGCGAAAGCGGCUCACUGGGUCUCUUCUGACGCUGAGGCACGAA
Molecule: ribosomal RNA, 235 nt
Filed under: uncultured bacterium
Lineage: Bacteria
Description: partial 16S ribosomal RNA
Rfam family: Bacterial small subunit ribosomal RNA
Source: RNAcentral